This is a non-coding RNA of Meleagris gallopavo (turkey), 3452 nucleotides long. Lineage: Eukaryota; Metazoa; Chordata; Aves; Galliformes; Phasianidae. The record is from RefSeq and is a predicted model, not a curated record.
GCUGUGGGGAGAGCUGAGAGCGGCCUGUCAGUAUCUAAAGGAGAACUGCAGGAAAGAAGGGGACAGACUCCUUAGCAUGGUCUGUGAUGAAAGAACGAGGGGAAAUUGUCUCCAACUAAAAGGGGAAAUUUAGAUUGGGUAUAAGCAGGAGUUCUGCUUGCAUACAUAAGACAAAUAUAGCUGUAAUAUGGAAUUUCAUGUAACCUGCAUGCUUUAUGUGAACAGUAGUGCUUUCUCUCUUUUCAAUUUCCAUGUGAGUUGACUCCUUUAUUUAAAUUUCAUAGUUUUAAUUCUUUACUCAUUGUGGUUCAUGAAGCAGUUUGACGUAAUAUAAUUGAAUGCAAUGGAAAGACAUCUGUGCUUAACCUUACUAGCCAUCAGCAGUCAUAAUUCAUAAUGACUAUAAAUGCCUUCAUAAUGAAAGAUAAUCAGUAUGAAAAUGUCAUUCAAUUUAAUUAAUUAUGGAUAUUUUGAUGGUAAUGAGCUAAUCAUUAUGAGCUUUCAGGUUUUACAUCACCAACUCAUCAUGCUUUGGAAAAAAAUGAAGUAGCAGCCAGCAAACUUAUCAUGAAACUGAAAGAUGCAUCUGAAGCUCUUUUAAACUUCUUCAGGCCAGUGACUUGCCGAUACAAAGGAAAGCAGUCUUUAGUCCCUUGUCAUGUAGGAGGGAGCAUUAAUGCAACAGAGUGUUUGGAGAAUAGAUGUUGUCCUUCCAAAGGCAGCCAUGAACUGAAAUGUUAUAUCCCAUUUAAAGACAAUUUGCAACUGACAUUUCGACUGUUUCUGCUUGGGGCGGUAGGAUUUUUAAUUUUGGGUUGUCUACCAUUAUUUUGCUGUGCCUGCUUCCAGAGGAGUGCAGUUGUGGGAAGCAGGCCUUCAAUUUCAGUUGAUCUAUUACUGGGAAUUUUCUCGUAAUGACUGCAAUUUGAUGAAUCAGCUGGUCAACUGAAAUUCAUGAAGAAAAGUCAGUGUGUCAAUCCUUUACGAAGAGCAAACAAAAAAAUAGAACAAAUUGUGCAGAACAGGAGAGCAAGUAGUGAAGAAAUGCGUAGCUUGUUAUCAAAUUGACUUAAAGACUUUGAGGAUCAUAAAAAUGAGAGAGAGAGGACCAUCCAUGUAAUAUUGAUGAACUCCAGCAGGAGGAAGACACCAGGAUUGUGCACUAACCAUGAGUAUGCUCUAGAAAAUGGGAUGAUUUGUUUUAGUAUCAAAAUAAUACACUGUUGUCAACCCUUGAUAAUGCUAUUGAUUUUGCAUUAGAAAUUGUUCAUUUCUGUUUCUUUAUACUCAUUCCAUAUCUCCUUCAUGGGAGAAAAAAAAAAAAGUAAUGCUGAAAGGGAAAAUCUGCUCAUUCCAGCUCCUCCAUGCUAAAACCACUCUAGGUACAAGUAAAGCAUCUUCACAGUUCAGAGAGAGGUCAGCCUUAGAGUACUAUCUGGAUUAAGAAGUGAUAGAAGAGAUGUUUGACGUUCAUUAAAUUGGUGCUGAGUGACAAGCGUACUGUUUUCAGGGAGCGGACACCACUGUAGCACAGCAGUGUUAUUCUUACUGAGACCACAAUUCUUUUCCUAAAUCCUCUGCAGCCAGGUAAUGUAUUGUUGGGCAGUUCCUUUAAAGACACGUCUUAGGCAAAGAACUUCAGGAAACUAGUAGCAUUUCUGCUGCUGCUGUUUCUGUUUGUGGAAUAUCACUGCACCAUAGAACUUGCUUGGAUCUUGAGGAGACCUGUCUCCCAAGGCAGGUGAUGCCAAAAUGUAAUUUCUUGCAGUUUCCCUGAAGAGUAACACAAAAUAAGAAAUGAACAUGUAAUGGAUUUGAACAGCAGAGUACAGAGUAAAAAUAGGCACUUAAAAAAAAAAAAGUCAGUAGAAAUCAAUUUCCCAAUAGUUAAAGCAACCAGUGGCCGUUUUUCCUCGUGUCUGUGAAAUACAUGUAGUAGAAUUUUCAAGAAUAGUGGUUAAUGAAUCUUUACUCUUAACCUGAAAAAUAAAGACAAUAGCCUUUAUCAGAAUAGUGAUACAUUGAAAUUGUGUACUCGUGGGAUUACCCAGUUCAUACAUUCUUCUUAGUUUUCCUAAUUCUAAAAAAGACAUCUCUUAAAGCCCAAGAGUAAUAGAGUUGAAGUACACAUAUGGGCAGUCUCAUGAAAUUGACAGAACAUAUAGACAUCACAAAAAAUUAGCAUAUGCAGAAGUUUUAAAACUUGAUAUGGCAACCAUUGCCAUUAGCACUAUAUUAGAGAUGGUUGGGAUAUAAUUUUGUAAGAAAAAGAACUGCAAUAUUUUUGAUGUUGAGCAGCAGAAUGAUGGAGACUGAAUAGUGUUCAGUUUGCCUUCCGAAUCUGUUUGUUUACUGCUUCUUGAUGUUAUUUUUAUGAGUUCUGAAAUAUGUCUGCAAACAUUUUGACAAAGAUAGAAACAAUUUCCUGCUUCUUGGAUUUAGGGGCACUGUUGCAACUGAAAUGUGCAUGCAACAAACACAUACAUCCUCUUGGGUGAAGGUAAUUAUGAGAGAGAGCUGUGUUCCAGAUUAAGUUUGACUUGGUACUUCGUGAUUUUUAUUUGAAGGGUGAUAAAUUCCUUUGUUUACAUGACACUGACAGCACAAAUGUUUUUGAUGUCUCACAACAUUCUGACAAAUGGACACGUACUGAUAAAACAACUGUAUUUAACUGAAAGCAUUCAGUGCAUCUGCAGUAAAUGUAUCCUGCAGAAUAAAAUGAACAUAAACAAAAUAUACAUACUAUAAGAGUAGGAUAUGAGAUGGAAAAGACUCAGCAAUGCUUAUAUUCCCUGUUGGAGUGGAACAUAAGAGCACCGAAUUGGAAUUGGAUCCUGUCCCUUUCAUAUCUGGCAGUUCCAUUAUAAGGAUGUUCUUAAAAGCUGAGAAGGCUUUUUGUUGGAGGAGGCAAAAACUUUGAUUUUUAGAUUGUAAUUUCUAUACCAGUUUGAGAAUUAAUUGAAUUGAAUUGGCAGCUGUUCAGCAUGGGUAUUGCAGAAUUAACUGCUAUUUCUGCCUAAAAUGGUGUGUGUGUGUGUGUGUGUGUGUGUGUGUGUGUGUGUGUGUGUGGACACAACAAACAACAGUAUAUAUUGCUUUAAAUAAAUCAACAGCAAGAGGAGGGCUAGGGAGAAUCUCCAUCUCUUGCUGGAUGCCAAGGGCAACUUAGUGACCAAGGAUCAGGAUAAGACUGAGGUGCUUAAUGCCUUCUUUGCCUCAGCCUUUAGCAGUAAGACUAGGUACUCUCUGGACAUACAGCCCCUUGUGCUGGUAGAUAGGGAUGGGAAACAGAAUAGGCCUUGCAUGAUCCAUGAUGAGAUGGUUGUGGACCUGCUUUGAAAGCUGGAUGCUCACAAGUCCAUGGGGCCGGAUGGAUUGCACCCUAGAGCACUGAGGGAGUUGGUGGAUGUGGUUGUGGUUAGGAAGAGUGGCUGGAAAGCUGCCUGAUGGAA